Molecule: non-coding RNA, 1590 nt
Organism: Nicotiana tabacum (common tobacco)
Lineage: Eukaryota; Viridiplantae; Streptophyta; Magnoliopsida; Solanales; Solanaceae
Source: RefSeq, a predicted model, not a curated record
AACGACUCCAUUUUGGCGAUGGUCAAUCAUGGUCGUUCAUUUUCCUCCAUCAAACAACCAGGAACUAGGCUUUAAUUCCCUUAAAAGUGUCUGAAACACCCCUAACCCCAAAGACCCCCCUUACUCCGUCUCUUUCACCUCUCUUUUACCCCUCUAAACCAUCGCCGCUGGCCACCGCCGAAAAUCGCUCACGGCGGCGGACGCCACUCCAAACAGCCCCAUUUUGUCUCGGUUUUCGGCGGCCGCCGCCACUCCAAACAACCCCAUUUUCUCACCAGACAACCACCACACUCCUCUUAUCUCAUAUUUCCUUUCAAUUCCAUCAGAAACCCCACCAAAAUUAGUGAAUUUUAGAUGUAAAUUUCCAGAAAAAUCCUAGUUUGACCUUUGUCAAAUUACUUGGGGUAUUUUGUUCGUUUUGGGUCGAGACUCACUUUAAUCAAUCAUUUGCGUUAGUUUUGACCAAUUUCGAAGUCACCGGACUCCGGCCAACUCACCACUGACUGGCCGAGCUUCAUCGAAAAAGGGUUUCAUGGCUUUGUCUCUCUUUCAAUAGGUCCAUCACCACUACUUCUGUACACACAUAAGGGUGCGACUGUGACUCAUGGGUUUAAUUUGAAAUCAAAGGCGUGUAGUGAUGAUGAGUUUAGCAUUCAAGGUUCAUUUGUUGUAAUAUUGUUCAAGAAAAUAAAAAAUAAAAAAUAGAAGGUGCUUGGGUUCAUAGACUUGUCUGUUAAUAUGAGUGAAGAUUUGAAAUAAUUUUCUUUGUUCUUUUCAGUAACGUAGUGUUUUAGUUCGAAGUAUUCAUGUAUUAGUGUUUAAGAAAGUCUGUAAUUAAUGUUUUAUUUCUGACAUUUUCAAAUUAUGUUGAGAAGCCAUGUUGAUUAACUGGUCUGGACAUUUGGUCCAAAUGGGGCUACUUAGCUAAUUUAAAAGGAAAUUUUACAUCCUAUAGCAAAGGUUGAUACCUUAUUUAUUAUAAAUAAAUACCCUUUUAAAAAAAUUAUCUCCUAUAGCUACCUAUUAAUUUUUAUAGCAAAAUUUCUAUUUAUGGCCAAUUCCUACCUUUAAGCCAUUAAAUACGCUGUAUAUUAUUUUUCUCUCUCCCUCUCCCUAGACUCUCUCCUCCUUUCUCUUUCUUCUCUUUUUCCCCAGGUUUUUCCUCCCCUGCUUUUAGAAACCCUAGCAGGGAUUGUGUUCCGCCAACGACAGAUUCGACCGGCGACCACUUCCCUCUUCCUUUUUGUGUCGCCCCAACCCCCUCCUCCGGUACAAACUCUCAGUAGACAACUUGAUUUCACUCUCCGAACAACAACUGUUAGAUUGCACCACCGAAAACAACGGCUGCGACGACAGUUUAAUGACCACAACCUACAAUUUCAUCUUAAAAAAUGACGGCAUUGCCACAUAAUCCAACUACCUUACGAGGAAUAUCAAGAUUCACACAAAAGCCAAGAGAGAAUGAACUCAGAAGUAGUGAAAAUUAGUAGCUACUUUGCCUUGAAAAGUUUGUUACCUUUUUUUUCAUUGUAUUUCAAUGUAUCUCACUGUAUUCCAUGUAUUUCAUUUGUAUUCACUGUCUUUUUUUCA